GGAGGUGUGAGGGCUCUGACAGGGUCCUAGAGUCCUCCUUCAUUCUUCCCAAAGCCUAGUUUGCACUUUCCCAGCUUUGGGAAGGAAGUGGAGGGCUUUAGGACCCUGCCAGAGCCCUUACGCUUCC
Molecule: non-coding RNA, 127 nt
Organism: Podarcis lilfordi (Lilford's wall lizard)
Lineage: Eukaryota; Metazoa; Chordata; Lepidosauria; Squamata; Lacertidae
Source: the annotation of a GenBank genome assembly